GGAUCAGGGCCUAACAAGCCACACCUAUUUCUUACUGUUUUUUUUUUUUUUUUGGGUGGAGGUGGGGGUAGUGGGGUAUUUUAGUUUUGUCAUUUUUUUGUUUGUGGGGUUUGUUUGGUUUGGUUUGGUUUUGGUGGGAUUUUUUUGUUUUUGUCCUAGAAAACAGAACUCUCCAUGUUAAAAUGAUUGGAAAUUGAACUUAGAGGGAUCUAGCAUGUGAUUACUUUUUUUAGACAGGAUUUUCUUCAUAGCUGAAUUGGACUGAGGUUUUUUUUUCUUUCCUUCCAAACCAGAUGGUAAGUGAUUCAGUACUUUUAGCAGUAGAAAAAUGAUUUGUUUUCUUUCCUCAGUAGUUGGUGUGAAUGUACUUUUCUUUAUCUAUUUACAUAUUAUGUAAACACACUUUAACAGCAUAUAUGUACAUAGUGUACAGUCCUAAUCCUGCAGAGAGCCCUGUAUAGGCAAGGCCUUGCACAUAGGAGGAAUUGACAUUGCUUUCAGAGAGCUGUUUGCAUGGAACUCCUGGCAGGAUUAUCACUGUAUUUGGAUUUUUAUGUGUACACUUAAAUAUAUGACACUGUAUGAGGAUGCCAACAGAACUCUUAAGUCCACAAAAUGUUUGAGUAACCUUGUGCACUUUUUUCGCCUAACAAAGUCUCUGGGGAUGCCCUUGAUCUCUUCUGUUGUCUUCCUGUGGUAAGCUGUAGCCCUGGUGACUGUUGAAUUAAAGGCAAAAGCUUAUCCUUAUUAUGGAGUGUUGGGGCAAGUUCUUCCUGGUGUGCAGGGGGAGCGAGGGCCUCAUUCGUCUGGCCUUUUGGACUUGUGCUGAUGCUACUAGGGGGUCUUGGGAAGGGAUUCCUGUAAUGGUGAGAAAUGCUUGUGAGAGUAUUAAAAAAACCUCCUUUCACGUGUGUACUUGAUUUCUCAAAGUUAUCUGCAUCUGUGUUUGUGUAUAUACAAUGUUAAAACUGAAUGUUAAAUGCAGUGCUGUGCCUUGUUCUGUGCUAAAUAAAACGUACAUGUAAAC
RNAcentral lists this long non-coding RNA (1027 nucleotides) under Strigops habroptila (Kakapo). RNAcentral's name for it is "lncRNA (ENSSHBG00005009596.1)". Lineage: Eukaryota; Metazoa; Chordata; Aves; Psittaciformes; Psittacidae. The record is from RNAcentral.